UACGUAGGUGACAAGCGUUGUCCGGAUUUACUGGGCGUAAAGAGCGCGCAGGCGGUCGUUCAAGUCGGGUGUGAAAGCCCCCGGCUCAACUGGGGAGGGUCAUUCGAUACUGAUCGACUCGAAGGCAGGAGAGGGAAGUGGAAUUCCCGGUGUAGUGGUGAAAUGCGUAGAUAUCGGGAGGAACACCAGUGGCGAAGGCGACUUCCUGGCCUGUUCUUGACGCUGAGGCGCGAAAGCGUGGGGAGCGAACAGG
This 253-nucleotide ribosomal RNA is filed under the name uncultured bacterium. RNAcentral describes it as "partial 16S ribosomal RNA". It matches the Rfam family "Bacterial small subunit ribosomal RNA", at positions 524 to 776 of the family's 1533-position model. The record is from RNAcentral.